Molecule: transfer-messenger RNA, 394 nt
Filed under: Anaerolineales
Lineage: Bacteria; Bacillati; Chloroflexota; Anaerolineae
Also listed under: 1 other name
Description: NAK19 sp003327455 Standard tmRNA
Rfam family: transfer-messenger RNA
About the family: Bacterial tmRNA, also known as 10Sa RNA or SsrA, is named for its dual tRNA and mRNA-like properties. Its role is to liberate the mRNA from a stalled ribosome.
Source: RNAcentral
GGGGAUGAUAGGCUUCGACGGGAGAGGCUGGCCCCGAACUGCGAGCCGAGAGGCGCCGACCUCGAUAAAUCAGCGCAAACAAAAAGUGCCAAUCGCACAUCCUACGCUGCUCUUCCGCUCGCUGCAUAAUCGAGUGGAAAGCGGUUGGUCUCCGAAGUGAGGCCACGUUCACCUACCCCGUCCUCCAGCCGGAGGUAGAGUGGGCGUAAUAAAGCUGGUGUGCCGCACAGGAGGCAACUAAAUGUGCGAAAGAGAAGCUUUCGGGCUUCAGUUGCUGGUCGGCCUGUCCUGGGUCCCUUGAGGACAGUCCGGCAAGAGUAACAAGGGACUACGCUCGUAGAUGUUCGAGGGACGAAUCUUUCGGACGCGGGUUCGAUUCCCGCCAUCUCCACCU